GAUUAAGAGCUUGCUCUUAUGAAGUUAGCGGCGGACGGGUGAGUAACACGUGGGUAACCUGCCCAUAAGACUGGGAUAACUCCGGGAAACCGGGGCUAAUACCGGAUAACAUUUUGAACCGCAUGGUUCAAAAUUGAAAGGCGGCUUCGGCUGUCACUUAUGGAUGGACCCGCGUCGCAUUAGCUAGUUGGUGAGGUAACGGCUCACCAAGGCAACGAUGCGUAGCCGACCUGAGAGGGUGAUCGGCCACACUGGGACUGAGACACGGCCCAGACUCCUACGGGAGGCAGCAGUAGGGAAUCUUCCGCAAUGGACGAAAGUCUGACGGAGCAACGCCGCGUGAGUGAUGAAGGCUUUCGGGUCGUAAAACUCUGUUGUUAGGGAAGAACAAGUGCUAGUUGAAUAGGCUGGCACCUUGACGGUACCUAACCAAAAAGCCACGGCUAACUACGUGCCAGCACCCGCGGUAAUACUUAGGUGGCAAGCGUUAUCCGGAAUUAUUGGGCGUAAAGCGCGCGCAGGUGGUUUCUUAAGUCUGAUGUGAAAGCCCACGGCUCAACCGUGAAGGGUCAUUGGAAACUGGGAGACUUGAGUGCAAAAAAGGAAAGUGGAAUUCCAUGUGUAGCGGUGAA
RNAcentral lists this ribosomal RNA (632 nucleotides) under Bacillus paramycoides. Its description in RNAcentral is "bacterial SSU rRNA". It matches the Rfam family "Bacterial small subunit ribosomal RNA", at positions 70 to 685 of the family's 1533-position model. Lineage: Bacteria; Bacillati; Bacillota; Bacilli; Caryophanales; Bacillaceae. The record is from RNAcentral.